AGGACUCAGCGAGCAGAGCCGGGCAGUUUCUGCCGGCCCUGCUCUCUCCCUCCUCUUUUUUCGACAGGUGACGGCAGUUGACUGGUGGGCGGGGCGCGCACACCUGCAGCGUGUUCUGCAGCACUAUAAGAUCUGCGCUCAGACAGCGGGAGGACGCCGGAAUAUUAACCGUUGUUGGUUCGCUCUCGUGUCCCGAGGCUUGAGCCUAACUGAACUCACCUGCUCACGACUCCCAUCGGAUCAGUCCGGUUCCUUCCGCUGCCUGUGUUUUCGCCAGAGCUGCUCGGACCUUGCCUCACGCCUACGCCCCCCGAUCAUCUGUCCGCACCACUCCAUCUGGAGCUGAGUCCGUUGCGCUUCCCCCUCCGGUCCGACUUCCGAACCUAAGUGAUCGUUCGUGCUCCGUCCGAGUCUCUCUCCCCGUGAUCGCUCCAUUGUGAGCCCUUUUUCGUGAUUACUUCCCCGAACAUUUUCCCUGUUGUUAUUGUCAAUAAACUCCGUAAAACUACUUCCUGUGAGCCGGUGUUCUCUGCAUGUGGGCCAAACAUAUCAAACCGACCAUGACAGAAGAAUAUUCCGGCCAACAAAGAGACCCAGCAGAGACAUUCGGUAGGGCGCUAACCGCCCAACAGGAUAAAAUCAGGGGUUUAGAAACGGCAGUGCUCUCCAUGCAGGACCAGUUCCAGGGCUUCGCCGCUCAGAUUAAUCAGCUAACGGCCGCGCUUAACGCCGCCCAGCAACCUGCCGCUUCCCCACCACCCGACCCCGCCCCCGAGCCUGCGCCGGCUGACGCUCCUCCGCUGCCUCCUGGAGCUUUUUCUCCCAGCCCAGAGAAGUUCUCGGGGGACAGCGGAGAUUGCGGAGGUUUCCUCUUUCAAUGUUCCUUAGCUUUUAACCAGUCCCCUCAACUCUUUGUUCAGGAUCACUCCAGGAUCGCCUUUAUUUUACGUUUGUUAACCGGGAGGGCAUUAAGAUGGGCUGAGUCCCGCUUUCCAAACUGUCAGAGUUUUGGUUGUACUUUUGCUCAGUUCAUCAGUGAGUUUAAGAUGGUCUUCGCGGCAGAAUCCGACGAGGUCCAGGACUCACGUCGGCUCCUUGCUCUCAGGCAGCAAGGGAGGCGCGUCUCUGAUUUCGCUAUCGAGUUUCGCACGCUGGCAGCCGCAGCCGGCUGGGAGCAGCGCGCGUUAAAAACUGUGUUUUUUCAAGCUCUGGA
Fundulus heteroclitus (mummichog) is the source of this 1213-nucleotide long non-coding RNA. RefSeq lists it as uncharacterized. Lineage: Eukaryota; Metazoa; Chordata; Actinopteri; Cyprinodontiformes; Fundulidae. The transcript has 3 exons. The record is from RefSeq and is a predicted model, not a curated record.